Molecule: ribosomal RNA, 914 nt
Filed under: uncultured bacterium
Lineage: Bacteria
Description: bacterial SSU rRNA
Rfam family: Bacterial small subunit ribosomal RNA
Source: RNAcentral
AGAGUUUGAUCCUGGCUCAGAUUGAACGCUGGCGGCAGGCUUAACACAUGCAAGUCGAGCGGAGAUGAGGUGCUUGCACAUUAUCUUAGCGGCGGACGGGUGAGUAAUGCUUAGGAAUCUGCCUAUUAGUGGGGGACGACAUUCCGAAAGGAAUGCUAAUACCGCAUACGUCCUACGGGAGAAAGCAGGGGAUCUUCGGACCUUGCGCUAAUAGAUGAGCCUAAGUCGGAUUAGCUAGUUGGUGGGGUAAAGGCCUACCAAGGCGACGAUCUGUAGCGGGUCUGAGAGGAUGAUCCGCCACACUGGGACUGAGACACGGCCCAGACUCCUACGGGAGGCAGCAGUGGGGAAUAUUGGACAAUGGGGGGAACCCUGAUCCAGCCAUGCCGCGUGUGUGAAGAAGGCCUUAUGGUUGUAAAGCACUUUAAGCGAGGAGGAGGCUACUGAGACUAAUACUCUUGGAUAGUGGACGUUACUCGCAGAAUAAGCACCGGCUAACUCUGUGCCAGCAGCCGCGGUAAUACAGAGUGUGCGAGCGUUAAUCGGAUUUACUGGGCGUAAAGCGUGCGUAGGCGGCUUUUUAAGUCGGAUGUGAAAUCCCCGAGCUUAACUUGGGAAUUGCAUUCGAUACUGGGAAGCUAGAGUAUGGGAGAGGAUGGUAGAAUUCCAGGUGUAGCGGUGAAAUGCGUAGAGAUCUGGAGGAAUACCGAUGGCGAAGGCAGCCAUCUGGCCUAAUACUGACGCUGAGGUACGAAAGCAUGGGGAGCAAACAGGAUUAGAUACCCUGGUAGUCCAUGCCGUAAACGAUGUCUACUAGCCGUUGGGGCCUUUGAGGCUUUAGUGGCGCAGCUAACGCGAUAAGUAGACCGCCUGGGGAGUACGGUCGCAAGACUAAAACUCAAAUGAAUUGACGG